This 89-nucleotide transfer RNA is filed under the name Dictyoglomota bacterium. RNAcentral's name for it is "Dictyoglomi bacterium (hydrothermal vent metagenome) tRNA-Leu". It matches the Rfam family "tRNA". From Rfam's summary of the family: Transfer RNA (tRNA) molecules are approximately 80 nucleotides in length. RNAcentral also lists the same sequence under 1 other name. Lineage: Bacteria; Pseudomonadati; Dictyoglomota. The record is from RNAcentral.
GCGGAAGUGGCGGAACUGGAAGACGCGCUGGACUCAGGAUCCAGUGGGCCUAAAAGCCCGUGCGGGUUCAAAUCCCGCCUUCCGCACCA